Long non-coding RNA from Gossypium raimondii (Peruvian cotton), 470 nucleotides. RefSeq lists it as uncharacterized. The transcript is spliced from 2 exons. The record is from RefSeq and is a predicted model, not a curated record. NCBI's taxonomy places the organism in Eukaryota, Viridiplantae, Streptophyta, Magnoliopsida, Malvales, Malvaceae.
GAAAAAGAAAGGAAGCCACUAUCAUAUCAUCUUCUCCACUGUCGAAACUGGAGAAAGAAGAAAAAGAGAAAAGCUUGGCUAAGGUUCGGCCAUUGGGAGUUAGAUUAAGGCUUUGUGCCGGUGAAAUGUAUCGGGCUUGGUGCCUAGCAGGCUUUAUGCCGGUGUUAUAUACAAGGCUCUAUGCUCUAUAAAUCUUAUGUGAGCAAUAGUAAAAGCAAAUAAAUGUGUUAAGAAAGCUAAAUUAUUCGGUACAUGAUUUGGCAGGGAGUAAGACCAUGAGUGGUUUAUGAAUUAAAACAUGUUGGUAAGCCCGAUACAUGAAUAAAUGUUGUGCUUAUCCCUACUUAUAAUGCUUAUGUUAUAUGUAUAUUUGGUGAACAUAUUUGGUAUACAUGCUUAGGCUUUGGCCAAGUAGUUACAUAGACCAUGCCACGUUAAAUUUAUAAGUUAUGCAUUGAUAUGGUUUGUUA